This 164-nucleotide ribosomal RNA is filed under the name Gliricidia sepium. Its description in RNAcentral is "5.8S ribosomal RNA". It matches the Rfam family "5.8S ribosomal RNA". Rfam says of the family: 5.8S ribosomal RNA (5.8S rRNA) is a component of the large subunit of the eukaryotic ribosome. Lineage: Eukaryota; Viridiplantae; Streptophyta; Magnoliopsida; Fabales; Fabaceae. The record is from RNAcentral.
UCCAAUGACUCUCGGCAACGGAUAUCUCGGCUCUUGCAUCGAUGAAGAACGUAGCGAAAUGCGAUACUUGGUGUGAAUUGCAGAAUCCCGUGAACCAUCGAGUCUUUGAACGCAAGUUGCGCCCGAAGCCAUUAGGUUGAGGGCACGUCUGCCUGGGUGUCACA